Molecule: long non-coding RNA, 1333 nt
Organism: Ornithodoros turicata
Lineage: Eukaryota; Metazoa; Arthropoda; Arachnida; Ixodida; Argasidae
Exons: 3
Source: RefSeq, a predicted model, not a curated record
UGACCCCCCUGUUUCUGUGUGUGACCUGGUAGUGUUUGCCUGUGUGAUGCCUCACAUAGAGCCUAAGCACUCAAAGCGGGUUAAUUAUUACACAACAUAAAUUAGAAAAAUUAAAUCGGACGGUAGGUUGCGCCCCGUAACAGCUAAAAAAGUCAUGAUGGGAGUACUCCUGUCACAUGAUACCUAAGUAAUACACAAUGAACUUACGACCCGCUACUAAUCUCCAAUAAACACUACUUUUAGAAUCACAAGAAUUACCGAGACAAUUCUUCAAAAUAUCGAAGAAACAGUAUACCAAAAUACCGUCAGCGCGGUCAGCGCCCUCUGUCUUCUCUCCUCCCAACCAUAUUGCACGGCGACGGCGUUUAUUGCGGCCUUGCGAGGUUUGUGUACGCAAAAAAGUUCAUUUCGUGCCGAAAUUGAACAAAGCUUCACCUGAGACGAUGCCAGGUAUCUGCUGUAAUGUUCGGGGAUACACCAAGUGUGCUCUUUGGACAAGGGACGUUGUGUACCACAAGAUUCCAAUGGAAAAUGCACGGAAACGAAAGUUGUUGCAAGCGCUUGGUCAAGACGUUCGUGAGCCACGCCGUAUUUGCUCAACCCAUUUCUCUGACGACUCGUACGAAAUGGUAGCAGCGGAUGGUCGAAAACUUCUCACACGGACGGCAGCCCCGACCCCGACACCAGUGUUUCAACAUGUGACGUCUGAGGAUGCGAACACCAGUGCAGAUGAGCGACACAGGCUUCCAUCGUGACUGACAAGAAUGUGAAACUCAGAAGUAAAAGGGUGUCAACGCAUGAUUUACCGUCAACACCUCUCAACCUUUAUCCAGUGAUGAAUUCAACAUCUAUGGUCCAUACACACUCAUGCUCACAGGUGCAUGAUAUGACGAUAUCUUCACCACUGGUGGAACCAGCUGUUGAGUCAUUCUGGAAAUCUGAAGACAACAGUUUUGAAUGGCCUGCUGAUACAAGUUUGCAGAUACCAAAAUAUCUUCUACUUUGCAGUGUUGUGCCCUCUGGUUCACCAGACCAGAAGAAGUACAUCAAAUGUGCAUCAUAUUCAGAACUUCCGGUGCAUCUCACAAAGAGGCCACUGAUGUUCGCGUCACGCUUCUCACCACAAAAGCAGAGUGCCCAAGUGAACACAACAACGUCGGCCAGAAGUCAACAAGAUGGCUGCAGGGAACAUCCUGCUGUCCUGCACAAUCCUUUUCAAUGGGACCAGUGUAGCCAAGGUGUGAAUUCAUAGUGCCUUAUGUUUUCACAGAUUCAAAUGACACCUUGUAGUAUUUGCUGUUGACCAGUUCUGUGGUUACUCGAGCUAAUUAAU